Molecule: long non-coding RNA, 1759 nt
Organism: Lathyrus oleraceus (garden pea)
Lineage: Eukaryota; Viridiplantae; Streptophyta; Magnoliopsida; Fabales; Fabaceae
Exons: 2
Source: RefSeq, a predicted model, not a curated record
CGUACCUUGACGACGUGCGAACAACGUUGAAAGGCUUCUCUACCAGACGACAACGACACUACCUCAUUCGAGCAUCAUCGGAACCUCCUCCGAAUUCAACGCGAUCGACGACGAAUCGACAGAUAAUUCAACUUAACAUCCGCGAGGGUUCGAACGACUUGCGUCCGAUUCAAAGUAAAAGUGAAGUCGAAACCGAAAAUCCAAUUCGCAACCUGAAACGGAAGAGAAGCUGAAUGAAAGAAUAGCUACCUUAUAACUUCGACGUGGUGGCUAAGGUGACGCUUUGGAUGAAAAAUGACGAUGAUGCUCCGAUUCGAAAUGACGAUGAUGCUCCAAUUCGAAAUGUCGAUGUAAGGUUGACGACUUUUUAUGUGGACCUCAUUCAGAGCAGAUGGUGGAAGCUGGUGGUUAUUGGGAGAAGUUGGAGGAUUCCGCGGUGGGUUGCAGGGUGGAGGUGAAGGGAAGUUUGAAAAUUGCAGGAUUUGUUGAUUAUGGAAGUUGGCGGAUGGAAAAGUGGAGUCCUGUUUUGGAGUUUUUUUGGUCGAAUGGUUGUUGAUGAACGAAAGAUGGAGAAGGUAGCAGGUUGAAGGAUUUAAGAGUGUGGUGGAAGGUUGAUGGUGGUUUUUUGAAGAAUGGUGAUGGUUGAAGAAGAGAAGAAGGAUGGUUGAAGAAUUUGUGAAUUGUUAAAUUAUGGGAAAGAUGGUGGAGUGUGAAGAAGGUUUUGAAAAAUGAGGAGAGAAACCUUCUGAAUCAGAAUGGUGAGUAAAUAUAGACUUCUCCCACUCCAAAUUUUGUUAGAAUUUAUUUUUGACAGUUAGUAUUCUGUUGAAAAAAAUCGGUUAUUUGGUUAAGUGGUCAUUCUUUCGUUAGAGUUAGUUGGAGGUUGUUAUAACAGUUCAGAUUUGGUUUUGGAAUUCAGUUACGGUUGUUUGGUUUUGUUAGAGAAAAGGGAAAGGGUGGUUAGAAGAUUAUUAUGGAAGAAGUCUUAUUGCGAUGAGUUGGUUCUAUUAGAAGGAAGUUCAUCCUUGGUGAAGAAUCUUGAAGUCCUUUUUAUCCAGGAAAUUCUGUUUUGAGGAGAGUUUUAUCCUAUUAUGAAGGUGGUUUUAAUUUGGUUCUGAAUUGAAGUUUGUUGAAGCUUUUUGUAGCAAUGUCACUUUCCAAACCUUGAAGCUAAGUUGAUAUUGCUCUUAAACUACUCAAGUGUAAUAAUAUCCUACUCUGUUUACACUAAUUUACCCCAUUAUUCACAACUUAUUUGUUGCAGGUUCUUCAUUUUGUCGAAGGGUUACAAUUAUGUGAGGUUCGGUUCCUGCGCGGCUUAGCAGGUGCUUCUUGUUUGGAUGGCGUGUAGCAGUUGCAUUUUGGAAGCUUUGAUUGCGUUUUGUCGCUUAUAGCUUUGGAUUCGUACGCCGUUCAUCUUAGCAGCUGGUGUGAAGUUGCUAUUCAGUUGCACUGUGUUUCCAGAUAUCUCUAGAGCAGCUUUCACUUCUUCAUAUUACUGCGUUGCCAUUGGCUUCGCUAUUUUCUCUUCUUUUGGCUAGUGCACAUGUGUUUGGUGACUGCAAUAACUUGUUUGUACUGUCUUUCCCUUUUGCUGCAUUUCAAUUAUUGUUUUAUUAUUUGGAUAUUAAAAGAUGAAUUUGAAUAACAUGCUUUGGAUAAUGAAAUAUGCCAUGGAUGAAGAAAAGAAAAAGGUUUAUUAAUUGGAAAAUGAAUUUAGAUGAAAUGAAAUGAAUGAAAAUGGUUUAUGUGGAUUAAA